AGAGAAGUAGCUAUGGGGAAAGUUCCAUUUUUACAAUUUGGUGAAAUCUGUUCGACUCAGGUUUUCUCUA
RNAcentral lists this transfer RNA (70 nucleotides) under Ophiarachnella gorgonia. RNAcentral describes it as "tRNA-Val". It matches the Rfam family "tRNA". From Rfam's summary of the family: Transfer RNA (tRNA) molecules are approximately 80 nucleotides in length. Their secondary structure includes four short double-helical elements and three loops (D, anti-codon, and T loops). The record is from RNAcentral. Lineage: Eukaryota; Metazoa; Echinodermata; Ophiuroidea; Amphilepidida; Ophiodermatidae.